Molecule: ribosomal RNA, 465 nt
Filed under: uncultured bacterium
Lineage: Bacteria
Description: partial 16S ribosomal RNA
Rfam family: Bacterial small subunit ribosomal RNA
Source: RNAcentral
GAUGAACGCUGGCGGCGUGCUUAACACAUGCAAGUCGAACGGAAAGGCUCCUGCUUGCAGGGGUACUCGAGUGGCGAACGGGUGAGUAACACGUGGGUGAUCUGCCCUGCACUUCGGGAUAAGCCUGGGAAACUGGGUCUAAUACCGGAUAGGACCACAUUUUGGAUGGUGUGGUGGAAAGUUUUUCGGUGUGGGAUGAGCUCGCGGCCUAUCAGCUUGUUGGUGGGGUAAUGGCCUACCAAGGCGUCGACGGGUAGCCGGCCUGAGAGGGUGUACGGCCACAUUGGGACUGAGAUACGGCCCAGACUCCUACGGGAGGCAGCAGUGGGGAAUAUUGCACAAUGGGCGCAAGCCUGAUGCAGCGACGCCGCGUGGGGGAUGACGGCCUUCGGGUUGUAAACUCCUUUCGCUAGGGACGAAGCGCAAGUGACGGUACCUGGAGAAGAGGCACCGGCUAACUACGUG